This 664-nucleotide ribosomal RNA is filed under the name uncultured Bacilli bacterium. RNAcentral describes it as "bacterial SSU rRNA". It matches the Rfam family "Bacterial small subunit ribosomal RNA", at positions 76 to 723 of the family's 1533-position model. Lineage: Bacteria; Bacillati; Bacillota; Bacilli. The record is from RNAcentral.
GUGCUUGCACUAGAAAAACUUAGCGGCGAACGGGUGAGUAACACGUAAAGAACCUGCCUCAUAGACGGGGACAACUAUUGGAAACGAUAGCUAAUACCGGAUAACAGCAUAAAUCGCAUGAUAUAUGUUUAAAAGUUGGUUUCGGCUAACACUAUGAGAUGGCUUUGCGGUGCAUUAGCUAGUUGGUGGGGUAAAGGCCUACCAAGGCGACGAUGCAUAGCCGACCUGAGAGGGUGAUCGGCCACACUGGGACUGAGACACGGCCCAGACUCCUACGGGAGGCAGCAGUAGGGAAUCUUCCGCAAUGGGCGAAAGCCUGACGGAGCAACGCCGCGUGAGUGAAGAAGGAUUUCGGUUCGUAAAGCUCUGUUGUUAGGGAAGAAUGAUUGUAUAGUAACUAUAUACAGUAGAGACGGUACCUAACCAGAAAGCCACGGCUAACUACGUGCCAGCAGCCGCGGUAAUACGUAGGUGGCAAGCGUUGUCCGGAAUUAUUGGGCGUAAAGCGCGCGCAGGUGGUUUAAUAAGUCUGAUGUGAAAGCCCACGGCUCAACCGUGGAGGGUCAUUGGAAACUGUUAAACUUGAGUGCAGGAGAGAAAAGUGGAAUUCCUAGUGUAGCGGUGAAAUGCGUAGAGAUUAGGAGGAACACCAGUGGCGAAGGCG